AACAAAAGAAGACCCAAAGCAGAGAAGCCAGCUGCCCUGUAGCUGCCAAUUUCCUCUCAAAAAACCUGCCAAAGCAUUUCAGAGCCUGGCCCAUUCUAGCCCAUAGCUGAGCCCAGAGGGAGUUGGUUCUUGGUUUAAAUGAUGGCAAAGUGGGAAACAGCUCUGACAGACAAACAUGACAACCUGCCCCAUCUGGAUCAGCACUUCUCACAGGCAUUUUAGUCACCGUAACCAUCUCUUUCCACAUCCUGAAGGAGCCAACUCAAAGACAGCAGAGAGGCCUUGCAAAACAGAGCUGAGAUGCAGUUUGAGUGAACUCAUUUUCAUCUGCCUCUGAACUGCAGCCACUACCUACUCCAGACUUUUCCGAGAGUAACAGUCUAUGAAGAGAGAAGGAAUGCCAGGAGGCUUAAGGAAUUGGGAAAGAAAGGUUGGGGAUUCUUGAAAGAACUUCAGUUCAGAAUUGCUUCCAAGCUCUGCCUAGCUCUGGUAAUGUUUUCCUUAUUUGCCUGUGGAAGUGAGAAAAGCUGAAGGCAGAUUUCCUGUCCUAAGGAAGCUAGCUCCAAGACACAGACUUUUCUGCUCAGACAUCAGCUAAAAUUAAACUGUACAUGUUACAGCAUGGAUGAACUUUGAAAAUAUUAUGCUCAGGGAAAGAAGUCAGACACAGAAGGCCACAUUGUGUGAUUCCAUCUAUCUGGAAUGUCGAGAAUAGGCAAAUCCACAGACAGAAGAUAGAUGAGGGGUUAGCAGGGAGCUGGGGGAUGAGGGUAAUGAUGAGUGACCACUAAUGAGUACAGUUUCUUCGGGGGGUAAUGAAAAUAUUCUGGAACUAGACAGUAAUGACAGUUGGUGAGUAUGCCCCAAACCACUGAAUUGUACACUUUAAAUGGUACCACUUUAUAGUAUGAGAAUUAUAUUGUAAUAUUUUUUAAGGGGGGGGGGGGACCAAACUGCAGUCAGUACCUUGACCUCAGAGAGGAGGCUCCUGCUCUUUAGAGCAGUGGUCCUUCAAACACGGUCCCCAGACCAACAGGAUCAGCAUCACUGAGAAAUUACCAGAAAUGCAAAUACGCAGGCUCCAUCCCAGACCACACAAUUAGAUGGGGCCCUAUAACCUAUGCUUUGAGAAGCCCUCCGGGUGAACAUCAUGUAUGUUCUCAAGAACCAUUACUUUUCUCCUCUUUUUCUUUUUCAUGACCUUUUAAAAAUGUAAAAACCAUUCAGUUCCCAGGCACACCAAAACAGAUAAUAGGAGUUCCCACUGUGGUUCAGCAGAAAUGAACCUGACUAGUGUCCAUGAUGUGGGUUCAAUCCCUGGCCCGGCUUAGUGGGUUGAGGAUCCAGUGCUGCCAUGAGCUAUGGUGUAAGCCAGAACUGGCGUUGCUGUGCCUGUGGCGUAGGCCAGCAGCUGUAGCUCCGAUACUUAGACCCCCAGCCUGGAAACUUCCAUGUGCCGCACCUUCGGCCCUACAAUAAAUAAAUAAAUAAAUUUAAAAAACAGAUAACAGGGAGUUCCUGUCGUGGUGCAGUGGUUAACGAAUCCGACUAGGAACCAUCAGGUUGCGGGUCCGAUCCCUGCCCUUGCUCAGUGGGUUACGGAUCUGGUGUUGCCGUGAGCUGUGGUGUAGGUUGCAGACGCAGCUCGGAUCCCACAUUGCUGUGGCUCUGGCGGAGGCUGGCGGCUACAGCUCCAAUUCGACCCCUAGCCUGGGAACCUCCAUAUGCCGUGGGAGAGGCCCAAGAAAUGGC
Molecule: long non-coding RNA, 1752 nt
Filed under: Sus scrofa (pig)
Lineage: Eukaryota; Metazoa; Chordata; Mammalia; Artiodactyla; Suidae
Description: lncRNA (ENSSSCG00030011640.1)
Source: RNAcentral